ACGUGGUCGGUCAUGGAAUCACGUUGGCUGUUCUCAUCAUCUCUCCCUCUCCAGCUUCUGGAGUUUUUGAUUUUUAUUGGUCCGCCGAUACGCCGAAAUUCGUCUCGUGGAGUAUGGUGUGAUUUUCUAUUAUAUCGGUUGUUAUUAUUCUCUGGAACGCUGUUGGAAAUAAAUGGUGCGUAACGGGACAAAGAAACAGAGAGAAAGAGCCGGAGAGCCGGGGGAGCUGGCAUAUAAUCGAAAUAUCUUUGUUUUUCUCCUCUUACGGUUCGUGUAUUCGUGGAAAUUGAAAUUACUCUCUGGCUGAACUCCAACCAUUCAUUAGACAUAGUCCUACGUCAACAAUCGAAAUACAACCGUUUCCGUGAAAGAUGUUCGAGAAAUGGUGUCAGUGCUUUUGAUCAAUUGAAUAAUGUCAGUUUAGUGCUGAUCUGAAAGUCAAGAUCAAAUCGGAAAAAUGUAAGGAGAUACUUUUGUAGUAGGAAGGACCACCAAGAUCCUGAAAAGUGCUGAAGGUUCGUGUAAUUUUGUAAUAGCAGCUAAAGGUUGUUCAUGAUUCAAUGUUGGCUUCGGGAGAACAAUACACAAGCUGGCCAUAUGUCGAAAUUUGUGUCCUUAUUGUCAAUGUACGUAGUGAACUCAGUAUAUAUCACGACCGUUAUUCUUCUUCUACGUGUGAGCAGGGUGCCGUGAAAUUUAUCAUUAAAAUUUAAAGAAAAAAUAAACCGGGUAAAUUUAAAGCACCCGAAAAACGUUUGCCGUCGGACGCUCGCCAACGCUCGA
This is a long non-coding RNA of Toxorhynchites rutilus septentrionalis, 783 nucleotides long. RefSeq lists it as uncharacterized. The transcript has 3 exons. The record is from RefSeq and is a predicted model, not a curated record. NCBI's taxonomy places the organism in Eukaryota, Metazoa, Arthropoda, Insecta, Diptera, Culicidae.